AUGUAGCUUAACCAAAGCAUCUCGCUUACACCGAGAACAUGUCAGUGAAACCCAGAUCAUUUUGAG
This 66-nucleotide transfer RNA is filed under the name Microhyla sp. 1 VG-2020. RNAcentral's name for it is "partial tRNA-Val". The record is from RNAcentral. Lineage: Eukaryota; Metazoa; Chordata; Amphibia; Anura; Microhylidae.